CCCCUCAUAGCUCAAUUGGUAGAGCAUCUCCCUCUUAAGGAGCUGGUUCCAGGUUCGAGUCCUGGUGGGGGGA
This 73-nucleotide transfer RNA is filed under the name bacterium. RNAcentral describes it as "tRNA-Lys". It matches the Rfam family "tRNA". Rfam says of the family: Transfer RNA (tRNA) molecules are approximately 80 nucleotides in length. Their secondary structure includes four short double-helical elements and three loops (D, anti-codon, and T loops). The record is from RNAcentral.